RNAcentral lists this ribosomal RNA (1475 nucleotides) under uncultured bacterium. RNAcentral's name for it is "SSU rRNA". It matches the Rfam family "Bacterial small subunit ribosomal RNA". The record is from RNAcentral.
AGAGUUUGAUCCUGGCUCAGGACGAACGCUGGCGGCGUGCUUAACACAUGCAAGUCGAACGGUAAGGCUCUUCGGAGUACACGAGUGGCGAACGGGUGAGUAACACGUGAGCAACCUACCCUUGACACUGGGAUAACAGUUGGAAACAGCUGCUAAUACCGGAUACGACCCGAGCAGGCAUCUGCUUGGGUGGAAAGCUCCGACGGUCAAGGAUGGGCUCGCGGCCUAUCAGCUUGUUGGUGAGGUAACGGCUCACCAAGGCGACGACGGGUAGCCGGCCUGAGAGGGCGACCGGCCACACUGGGACUGAGAUACGGCCCAGACUCCUACGGGAGGCAGCAGUGGGGAAUAUUGCGCAAUGGGCGAAAGCCUGACGCAGCAACGCCGCGUGCGGGAUGACGGCCUUCGGGUUGUAAACCGCUUUCAGCUACGACGAAGUGAAAGUGACGGUAGUAGCAGAAGAAGCGCCGGCUAACUACGUGCCAGCAGCCGCGGUGAUACGUAGGGCGCAAGCGUUGUCCGGAAUUAUUGGGCGUAAAGAGCUCGUAGGCGGUCUGUUGCGUCGGGAGUGAAAACUCAGGGCUUAACCCUGAGCCUGCUCUCGAUACGGGCAGACUUGAGGAACGUAGGGGAGAACGGAAUUCCUGGUGGAGCGGUGGAAUGCGCAGAUAUCAGGAGGAACACCGGUGGCGAAGGCGGUUCUCUGGACGUUUCCUGACGCUGAGGAGCGGAAGCGUGGGGAGCAAACAGGCUUAGAUACCCUGGUAGUCCACGCUGUAAACGGUGGGCACUAGGUGUGGGGGACAUUCCACGUUCUCCGUGCCGUAGCUAACGCAUUAAGUGCCCCGCCUGGGGAGUACGGCCGCAAGGCUAAAACUCAAAGGAAUUGACGGGGGCCCGCACAAGCGGCGGAGCAUGCAGAUUAAUUCGAUGCAACGCGAAGAACCUUACCUGGGUUUGACAUAUACCGGAAACACUUAGAGAUAGGUGCCCCGCAAGGUCGGUAUACAGGUGGUGCAUGGCUGUCGUCAGCUCGUGUCGUGAGAUGUUGGGUUAAGUCCCGCAGCAAGCGCAACCCUCGUCCUAUGUUGCCAGCGGGUAAUGCCGGGAACUCAUAGGAGACUGCCGGGGUCAACUCGGAGGAAGGUGGGGAUGAGGUCAAGUCAUCAUGCCCCUUAUGUCCAGGGCUUCACGCAUGCUACAAUGGCUGGUACAAAGGGCUGCAAUAUCGCAAGAUGGAGCGAAUCCCAAAAAGCCAGUCUCAGUUCGGAUUGGGGUCUGCAACUCGACCCCAUGAAGUCGGAGUCGCUAGUAAUCGCAGAUCAGCAACGCUGCGGUGAAUACGUUCCCGGGCCUUGUACACACCGCCCGUCAAGUCAUGAAAGUCGGUAACACCCGAAGCCAGUGGCUCAACCAUUUAUGGAGGGAGCUGUCUAAGGUGGGAUCGGUAAUUAGGACUAAGUCGUAACAAGGUA